AUUGAACGCUGGCGGCAUGCUUUACACAUGCAAGUCGAACGGCAGCGCGGGCUUUGGCCUGGCGGCGAGUGGCGAACGGGUGAGUAAUACAUCGGAGCGUGCCCAGUAGUGGGGGAUAGCUCGGCGAAAGCCGGAUUAAUACCGCAUACGACCUGAGGGUGAAAGCGGGGGAUCUUCGGACCUCGCGCUAUUGGAGCGGCCGAUGGCAGAUUAGCUAGUUGGUGGGGUAAAGGCCUACCAAGGCGACGAUCUGUAGCUGGUCUGAGAGGACGACCAGCCACACUGGGACUGAGACACGGCCCAGACUCCUACGGGAGGCAGCAGUGGGGAAUUUUGGACAAUGGGCGAAAGCCUGAUCCAGCAAUGCCGCGUGUGUGAUGAAGGCCUUCGGGUUGUAAAGCACUUUUGGCGGGAACGAAAAGGACUGUGCCAAUACCACGGUUCGAUGACGGUACCCGCAGAAUAAGCACCGGCUAACUACGUG
This 484-nucleotide ribosomal RNA is filed under the name uncultured bacterium. RNAcentral describes it as "partial 16S ribosomal RNA". It matches the Rfam family "Bacterial small subunit ribosomal RNA", at positions 29 to 507 of the family's 1533-position model. The record is from RNAcentral.